This 255-nucleotide ribosomal RNA is filed under the name uncultured bacterium. Its description in RNAcentral is "partial 16S ribosomal RNA". It matches the Rfam family "Bacterial small subunit ribosomal RNA", at positions 524 to 776 of the family's 1533-position model. The record is from RNAcentral.
UACGGGGGGGAGCAAGCGUUGUUCGGAUUUACUGGGCGUAAAGGGCGCGUAGGCGGUCGUGACAAGUCACUUGUGAAAUCUCCGGGCUUAACUCGGAACGGUCAAGUGAUACUGUCGGACUAGAGUACAGAAGGGGCAACUGGAAUUCUCGGUGUAGCGGUGAAAUGCGUAGAUAUCAGGAGGAACACCGGUGGCGAAGGCGGGUCUCUGGGCCGAUACUGACGCUGAGGAGCGAAAGCGUGGGGAGCGAACAGG